Molecule: ribosomal RNA, 213 nt
Filed under: uncultured bacterium
Lineage: Bacteria
Description: partial 16S ribosomal RNA
Rfam family: Bacterial small subunit ribosomal RNA
Source: RNAcentral
UCAGUUCAGACUGCAGGCUACAACUCGCCUGCACGAAGUCGGAAUUGCUAGUAAUCGUAGGUCAGCAUACUACGGUGAAUACGUUCCCGGGCCUUGUACACACCGCCCGUCAAACCAUGAGAGUUGGCAACACCCGAAGUCGGUAGUCUAACCGCAAGGAGGACGCCGCCGAAGGUGGGGUUGAUGAUUAGGGUUAAGUCGUAACAAGGUAAC